UGGAGCCGACCUUGAAAUACCACCCUUUAAUGUUUGAUGUUCUAACGUUGACCCGUAAUCCGGGUUGCGGACAGUGUCUGGUGGGUAGUUUGACUGGGGCGGUCUCCUCCUAAAGAGUAACGGAGGAGCACGAAGGUUGGCUAAUCCUGGUCGGACAUCAGGAGGUUAGUGCAAUGGCAUAAGCCAGCUUGACUGCGAGCGUGACGGCGCGAGCAGGUGCGAAAGCAGGUCAUAGUGAUCCGGUGGUUCUGAAUGGAAGGGCCAUCGCUCAACGGAUAAAAGGUACUCCGGGGAUAACAGGCUGAUACCGCCCAAGAGUUCAUAUCGACGGCGGUGUUUGGCACCUCGAUGUCGGCUCAUCACAUCCUGGGGCUGAAGUAGGUCCCAAGGGUAUGGCUGUUCGCCAUUUAAAGUGGUACGCGAGCUGGGUUUAGAACGUCGUGAGACAGUUCGGUCCCUAUCUGCCGUGGGCGCUGGAGAACUGAGGGGGGCUGCUCCUAGUACGAGAGGACCGGAGUGGACGCAUCACUGGUGUUCGGGUUGUCAUGCCAAUGGCACUGCCCGGUAGCUAAAUGCGGAAGAGAUAAGUGCUGAAAGCAUCUAAGCACGAAACUUGCCCCGAGAUGAGUUCUCCCUGACUCCUUGAGAGUCCUGAAGGAACGUUGAAGACGACGACGUUGAUAGGCCGGGUGUGUAAGCGCAGCGAUGCGUUGAGCUAACCGGUACUAAUGAACCGUGAGG
Molecule: ribosomal RNA, 741 nt
Filed under: Escherichia coli
Lineage: Bacteria; Pseudomonadati; Pseudomonadota; Gammaproteobacteria; Enterobacterales; Enterobacteriaceae
Description: partial 23S ribosomal RNA
Rfam family: Bacterial large subunit ribosomal RNA
Source: RNAcentral